AACGAACGCUGGCGGCAUGCCUAACACAUGCAAGUCGAACGAGACCUUCGGGUCUAGUGGCGCACGGGUGCGUAACGCGUGGGAACCUGCCCUUAGGUUCGGAAUAACUCCCCGAAAGGGGUGCUAAUACCGGAUAAUGUCUUCGGACCAAAGAUUUAUCGCCUUUGGAUGGGCCCGCGUUGGAUUAGCUAGUUGGUAGGGUAAAAGCGUACCACGGCGACGAUCCAUAGCUGGUCUGAGAGGAUGAUCAGCCACACUGGGACUGAGACACGGCCCAGACUCCUACGGGAGGCAGCAGUGGGGAAUAUUGGACAAUGGGCGAAAGCCUGAUCCAGCAAUGCCGCGUGAGUGAUGAAGGCCUUAGGGUUGUAAAGCUCUUUUACCCGGGAUGAUAAUGACAGUACCGGGAGAAUAAGCUCCGGCUAACUCCGUG
RNAcentral lists this ribosomal RNA (433 nucleotides) under uncultured bacterium. Its description in RNAcentral is "partial 16S ribosomal RNA". It matches the Rfam family "Bacterial small subunit ribosomal RNA", at positions 29 to 507 of the family's 1533-position model. The record is from RNAcentral.